GUAGUUAGUAUGGGUAGAUAGAAGUAUUUAGUAUGGGUAGAUAGUAGUAGUAUGGGUAGAUAGAAGUAGUUAGUAUGGGUAGAUAGUAGUAGUUAGUAUGGGUAGAUAGAAGUAGUUAUUAUGGAUAGAUAGUAGUAGUUAUUAUGGGUAGAUAGAAGUAGUAUGGGUAGAUAGAAGUAGUUAGUAUAGGUAGAUAGUAGUAGUUAGUAUGGGUAGAUAGAAGUAGUUAGUAUGGGUAGAUAGUAGUAGUUAGUAUAGGUAGAUAGUAGUAGUUAGUAUGGGUAGAUAGUAGUAGUUAGUAUAGGUAGAUAGUAGUAGUUAGUAUGGGUAGAUAGUAGUAGUUAGAAUGGGUAGAUAGAAG
This is a long non-coding RNA of Ictalurus punctatus (channel catfish), 361 nucleotides long. The record is from Ensembl. NCBI's taxonomy places the organism in Eukaryota, Metazoa, Chordata, Actinopteri, Siluriformes, Ictaluridae.